CUUCCUGUAGGGGUGACAUGCGGAAGGAUCAUUGUCGAA
This 39-nucleotide ribosomal RNA is filed under the name Tecomella undulata. Its description in RNAcentral is "partial 18S ribosomal RNA". The record is from RNAcentral. Lineage: Eukaryota; Viridiplantae; Streptophyta; Magnoliopsida; Lamiales; Bignoniaceae.